Molecule: transfer RNA, 74 nt
Filed under: Candidatus Cloacimonadota bacterium
Lineage: Bacteria; Pseudomonadati; Candidatus Cloacimonadota
Description: Candidatus Cloacimonetes bacterium (wastewater metagenome) tRNA-His
Rfam family: tRNA
About the family: Transfer RNA (tRNA) molecules are approximately 80 nucleotides in length.
Source: RNAcentral
GCGGUUGUAGCUCAGCUGGUUAGAGCACCAGAUUGUGGAUCUGGGGGUCGCGGGUUCAAAACCCGUCAAUCGCC